GGAAAAGGCUUAAGUUGACCUACUUUGGUUGAGUUGUCCAUAGAAUACUUUAACUGGAAUGGGCACAAAGCUAUCUAAGAAAAGGCUUGUUCGGAACUUAUAUCUAUCUCCCAAUAUAUCACGGUGGAACUCUCAAAAAGCACUUUUCUAAGAGCUGAGACCUGGAGCCUUCUUUCCCAUCAUUAAAAAUACACUUUAUGUAUUGCACCAUGAGUAGUUCACUUCCUCUCUUCUAUUGGUGUAGCAUCCAAUGAAAUAUGAAUGGUAAAAGGAAGAGUCUCUCAUAUGCGUCUCAAUUUUGUUCAUCUUUCCCUCACUCACUGGUCAGAGAAAGGAGUAUGUAGUUGACCAGAGGAAUAGUCCCCUUAGAUUCAACUAGUGGGUGAGAGAAAAAAAUGGAACCUAUAAACGUAGAUGUUUGGAAGAUGAGAAUGCAGUUGCUUCUUAAAGAACAAGAUCUUUUUUUUUUUUUCAUUCUUGAGAAAAGAAAAGCCCAUGAAUCUGGUGCUAAUGGCUUAUUCAAUCAAGUUAAUGUUGUUAUAGCCAACUUUGUUUACCUCAGUCUUUUGCCUUUUUUGGUAUUGUUCCCUCCCUUUUUUUUGUUAUGGCAUUGUAGAUUAGGACAUGUUUGCAGCCCAAUAGGGGAUAUCAACGUAGAAUUGUGAUUGUUAGGGAGAAUGCUUUUAGUCAACUGAGCGAGUUGCUUACAAAGAUUAAUUGGCAAGCUCAAUCUAUAAAGAAUAAUUAGAACCUAGACUACAUGUGGUUCUAUGUUCUUGGAUUCUUGGUGGUGACCAUGGUAAGGCGGUGGUGGUGACAUGGUGAUGAAAGUGAUAAUAAUAAUAGUUAUUGCAUAAUAUGGGCGGUGUGCGGAUUCUGUUUAGGUGAGCAACAAUGAUAGGAAAGGGGAGUAAGCAAGCUUUAAGGGAUAGGGGGAUGGAAGCAAAAAUAUGCAUUGGUUGUUCCAGAAUAGGUUGAGGACAAGGUUCUUUCAUUAAAGGGAAAGAAUUUCAGGCAGUUAAAGUAACUAUCUCCAACCUUUCCUGUAUAGGUGAGAGACCAUUAUGAUAAGGUUAAUCUGCACGUUUUAAGUUCAUAUGAAACAAGUUAUUGAAAAAUUAAUAUCCAUGACCAUUAUGUUUCGCUCUAAUGCUACCAAAUUUCGGUAAGCUUUAGGUACCCCUAAAAGCCCUAUACACUUACUUUUUUUCAAAGAAACUAACUUAGACAUCGGAGAUCCAUUGGCCUAACCCCACACUCCCCACCUCGUGGGUGUGUGAGACCUUAGUCUUUGAUCAAAGGUGUUGAUUGUUUUGCAGGUGCAUUUUCGUCAAAGCAAGGGAUGACGGAAAUUUGCAUCAACAUCUUGUUUCUUUACUACUGUAAUUGUUGUCAAUAAUGGUUAUUUCUCAUGCUUUAUUUUCGUCUCUAGAAAUUCAAUUAUGAUUGAACUGAAAUGUACUAUCGUUCUGUAAAAAUAAAUAUUGACAUUUACCAACACAAUUUAUUGUCAAAUUCAAAUGUAUACCUACUAAAUUAAAAUGUACCCAUGCCUAAAUUAAAUGUACCGAUAGGUUCUAGGGUUACACAUAACUUGAUAUUAGCUUCUUACUAGUGUUCUAAAAAUCGGGCUAGGGGGCCACCUAGAUGCUACGCAAUGGUCAGUCGCUCGGAUUAAGCCAAAAGUGGGAGGCAAAUUCGGGAAGAAAUUAGGCAGGUGCCUAUGGGGUCUAGUGAAGGAUGAUUUUGUGAAAACAUGUUCAUUUGAAUAACAUCUAUAGCAUGCAUUUAACAAUUAAAAGGCGGAAUCAUGCUUGCAUGCAUUCAAAAACAAAACAUUACCCAUGAAAUUCAAAGCCUAGUAGAUUGGUGAACCAAGACUCAACUCAAAAUCAAAGUGAGUUGAAAUUUACCUUUGUAGAUUUCUCUUUGCAUAAGCAAAGGCUAAUCACCCAAAGAGAGGGCCUUCAUUCCUUGCAUCUAAAAUCUAUGGAUUUGGAUGGAUGAAAAGGUUUCUCCAAGUUCCCAAAAUUGAGAACCUCUAAGUAUCCACACCAAGGUUAGAUUGGAGAAGAAAAUGAGUGACCUUGGAGGAGUAGUAUGGCUAGAUACACCCUCCA
RNAcentral lists this long non-coding RNA (2120 nucleotides) under Malus domestica (apple). RNAcentral describes it as "long non-coding RNA (MDOM_LNC005843)". Lineage: Eukaryota; Viridiplantae; Streptophyta; Magnoliopsida; Rosales; Rosaceae. The record is from RNAcentral.